Hylaeus anthracinus is the source of this 1179-nucleotide long non-coding RNA. RefSeq lists it as uncharacterized. The record is from RefSeq and is a predicted model, not a curated record. NCBI's taxonomy places the organism in Eukaryota, Metazoa, Arthropoda, Insecta, Hymenoptera, Colletidae. The transcript has 4 exons.
GGUAUUUAAAUACAAAGGUACGCACGAUCAUAGGGGGUUACUAUCAUGACAUUGAUACCAGCAUCGACAUAGUGAAUCACCUGUUAAACCAAUCACCCUGGUCUAGACCCAAACGUACAAAUUGUAAGCCGUUUAGUACGGGAUGUUGCCGGUGACAAAACAUUUCAACUGGUACUCGGCCGCGUCAGGUUGACUAGGUCGUAGCGCUCGACGAUUACAUACAUUCUAAAUAAUUACAAUAAUUAACGAUCAAUUUGCAUCUCUCACUGUCUUAGGUUUCACUCGAGAUCCACGCAAGGUCGCCAAGCACACGUAGCACGCGUGUCUCGUUAUAUCACAAUUCCGAUAUGCGGGUACACCGUACGAACAGCAUGGAACUUUGUCAUGCCUCGCAUACUGCCUAUCCUUACUUGUCAAUUCUAGCACGGUUCCACUUGCUACUAAACGAUAAUGUCGCUGACAAUCACCGAUAACCUACAUUAUCGAUGUUCGUACGCAUUAUAGUGUUGAAGAUAGCACAGCAUAGCAGUUGAAAAUUGAAAGAAUGAAACCAAUUUUGUAAUAGCUAUUACAGUGACGGACAAAGGAAAGUGUAAAAGCUGCUUAUUCAUGGAGGUUUAAAAAUAUAUAGUUCCAUUUAAAAAAAAAGGCAAUGAUGGCCUUAAAAUCUCAUAAAAAAAACGAUCCUGGACAAAAUUAUAUUCCGUCAUUAACAACAUAUAUCGAGAUAUUCAAGAUGAACAAAGUUAUUACUACAUUACCAAUAUAAUUAUAAAUAUAUUAUAAUUACCAUUAUAAGUGUCUCUCAAAAUAGUACACCUUUGUCUUGAUAAGUUUCAUCAUAGGACUACGAAUACAAGAAAUAUUCAAGGAACCUUAACGCCAUCAAUCACGAAGUCUUCAUGCUUCAUUUCAACGAAAACGAUGCCAACAGGCUUGCAAGAAGGCCACGUUCGCGGGCAUUAGUGUCUAUGCUAAAACGAAUUAACGACAGUGUCUACAAACUGUCGACAAACGACUGGCAGGUUAAUGUUUUAUAGCAAACCGGAACAGGAAACAUCAUUGAAGCGUGCAACCACAGCAUCGAUGAGAAAAAGUCGCGAACAACGAGGUUCUUUAACUACCGUCCUUCAGAACACACUACAAAAGACAGAUAAGCACAACACUCUUGCUUUUAUU